This 1936-nucleotide long non-coding RNA is filed under the name Nicotiana tabacum (common tobacco). RNAcentral describes it as "long non-coding RNA (NTAB_LNC014098)". Lineage: Eukaryota; Viridiplantae; Streptophyta; Magnoliopsida; Solanales; Solanaceae. The record is from RNAcentral.
AAUUAUGCAGAAAGUGGAAAUACACUAGAAUUAAUGUCAUAAUUUCGCACACAAUGAUGCUUACUAUGGAUACUUUAAACAGUCAAACUGUAGGUCAAAAUACAUCAUCAUAUGGCUGAACUUGUUCAAAUACAAAACCAAAAUCUAAAGAAAGAAACAGUAAGGACCAAAGAAUAAUUAACUGUAGCCUUACAGUCAAUACCAACUUGAAUACAUAUGAACAGAAACUAGCAAGAAGUUUUCUUCAUCCGAUUUAGGAUUAUGGAACUUCAACAUCAGCUGAACCUUUCUCUAAUGCAAAACAGUAGCAAAAUCCCAUAGGAUUAACAUACAACUAACUUGAAUAUAAGAAACUACAUCAGAUCCUCGGCAGAAUCAAAACAAAGGAACAGCAGUAAUUCAACUUAUAUUAUAUUCACAACAUGAGAAAAGCUAAUAUAACAUGCUUAAGAUUAAACUAUUACAAAAUACUAAAGAAAUGAAGGAAAUAGGGAAAAUAAAACUCCAUAACAGCUUGUAUUCAAUCAUGUUUCGCAUUCGAAUUGCAGAUUUACAAUUCACAUGUUGUCCAUAGUUCAAAAGAUACCUGGAAGUCAAAGAAAAAUAAGGAGAAUGAGGGAUUAGCAGCAGCAACAAAAUCAGUUCAGCAAACCAGCAACAAAAUCAACUUCGUUCAAACCAGUAUGGACCCAGAUGAGCACUAAUCAUUGGAGUUUUUUCAGAAAUUCUAACUAACUAUGACGUUUAAAGGUAGAGUCAAAGCCAAUUUCAACCCAAAAAAGUGCAGGGAAUUUCAGUGUUCUUUCAAGGUUUUAAGACUCAACCGUUUUUCAGUUUUUGGUAUUGUAUUUCUCUAAAAUCUGACUUGAGAAUGAAGUAACAGGCCUUUUAUAGAGGUUUUUCAGGGCUGCAGAAAUGAACUUCAGUUUUUGCUUAUUACUCCUUUUUUAAUUUUUAUUUUUGCUAGUUAGUCCUUGAUUUUAAAAUCUAUUUUUUAAACUAGCCCCAACCCCACUUUCCUAGCAGCUUCCCAAUCAGUUAUACAAGAUUCUCCUUACUUAAUUUCCCUAAACUACCAUUGUAACCCCUAUUAUUUACCCUUAGAACUGGAUACGAGUCAAGUUGACCCAAAUAUCAAUCCCAAAUCAGAUUUGCAAACCCGGCCUAAUUCCCCUCCUUGGGCCUCUGUUGACAGAGCCCAAAUCCCAUUCAAAAACAAAACUCACAAAGUUAAUGGGCUAAACGGAGUUGCCAAAAACCAAAAUACUUUCGAAAUGAAACCAAAAGCAAAAACGAGAAAGAAUUAAUUAAAACUAAGUAUGAGAAUAGAAACUAACAUGCUUUUAACCUAAUCAUGUAAAUAGAAACUGAUUCAAAAACGAAAAAUAAUAAAGAAAAGAAAAGAUGAAACGGAAGGAGAUGAAGACGAGGAGAAGAACAAAAGAACGAAAAAAAUAAGAACGAGGGUACCUACAGAAGACAGCAAACAAAUCAUGGCUUGAAAAAACUAUGAUUUUUUUUUUGAUUUUGAGCCGAAAUUGGCCUCAAUCACGUGUUCUUGUUAAGAACAAACGACCAAGGCCAGUUUCGACUCUUAAUCACUUGUCAAAACUAGAAAAACUCGGGUGAUUUUUGUCUUCUGCUUUUCUUUUUCAGAUCCAAGAUGGGUUUCAUUUGGUGAGGAUUCGAAAGAAUAUGGGGGUAGAUUAGGAAUCAGGGGUGAGUGAGGGUUGUAUGGUCGAAGUUUGGAGAGGAUUCAAAGUUGUUUUGCCGGUGAAAAUGGCGGAAUUCUUCAGGCGACGCUAGGGUUCAAUGAGAGAGAUGAGAGACAGAAGAAGGGGUGUUUGGACUAGGUUGUCUGAUGGGGGUUUGGACAUUUUUAAUAAAAAUGGGGGAAGUGAUUUUAGCCGUUAGAUAAAAUGGGACGGAAGGUUGG